UGGGUAUUGAAGUACUUCACAACGACAUCGCCGAUAGAACAUGCUUUGAUAGUUGAGGGUGAUCAACGCCAUGUCAUCGGCCCCUCCCAGGGUGUGGGUCAAGAAUAUGGAGUUACACUUCAUUUCUACACCUGACUUUAAAAAACUCCUCAUAAUUCUCAGAAUAGAGAAAAAAAAAAGACUCAUCUGGUUACCAGGUCAAAGGUCAUCCUCACAUCGACCACGUUGGUCUAAGAACUACAGGGGCUCUUUAUCUGUUGCCGCCUCCAAACUCUGGAACAAUCUCGUUGUCCAACAUCU
Long non-coding RNA from Scophthalmus maximus (turbot), 300 nucleotides. RefSeq lists it as uncharacterized. The transcript is spliced from 3 exons. The record is from RefSeq and is a predicted model, not a curated record. NCBI's taxonomy places the organism in Eukaryota, Metazoa, Chordata, Actinopteri, Pleuronectiformes, Scophthalmidae.